This is a long non-coding RNA of Malus domestica (apple), 910 nucleotides long. RefSeq lists it as uncharacterized. The record is from RefSeq and is a predicted model, not a curated record. NCBI's taxonomy places the organism in Eukaryota, Viridiplantae, Streptophyta, Magnoliopsida, Rosales, Rosaceae.
GUCUAGUCUAAAAUAAUUUAGUCACACCCUUGAAACGUGACCAAAUCCCCUUUUCCCUUCCCCUUCUCUCUCUUACCAAAAAAUGCGUGAGACUCUUUCUAGUUUCUAAACCUUGCAAACUCCUUUGCCGCCGACCCCAACCUUUGGUUUGGGUGCCGGUGGCUAUCCUUGUCCAAGUUCCUUGUUCUCCUCUUUCCCUCUUUCUCCUGAUCCUCUUCUUUCUUUUUCAAUUUUCUUCUGAGAUUUUUCUCAGUUUUCUUGAGCUUUGUCUCAAAUUUUUCCAUGAGUUUGUCUCACUUUUGGACUUCAUGUCCCUCCUCUCCACCCCUCCCUCUCCUUUGGCCGUUCAUUUCCAAACCCAAAACUCCAUCUCUCCUCACUUUUCCCCUUUGCCUCCCUUCCCCAUAAAUCAUCCCCACCCCAUCCUUUGCUCUGAUCUGCAAAACUCUGGAUCGAAUAUGGUUGCCAGCUUUAUUUCCCUUCCUCACUGUCCCUUUGCCGGAUUUCCAUAGAGGCCAAGUGUACUGCGACUUUAGCCAAAGAUUCGUGAAUGGAAUUUGGAUCUGGUGACUAUCUUUUGGUUCUGCAUCUUUAGGAAAGAAAUCUGGAUGUGGUGUGCUUCUUGGUGUGGGUUUGGUACUUUUGUAUAGCGAUAUCUUGUUUGUUUUCACCACUCGAUUGUUUUCUCUGGUGUUGCUACUUCGGUAGUUGCUAGCAAGACUUUCGUGGCGAUGAUGGUGACGGAUGCUGCUUUCUAUGGUAGAAAAUUAAGGAUUUGGGUUCCCGUUUCAGUUUAUUUAUUUGGGCUGAGCUUUUAUGUAUUUGUUUCCCAAUGUAUUUGAGUUAUUUUUCCUUCCUUUGAGUUGGCCAACUAUUUAUAUACAUGUAUUCUAAGAUUGAUUUUCUCCAA